GAUGAACGCUGGCGGCGUGCUUAACACAUGCAAGUCGAACGAAGCACUUUGAUCGAUUUCUUCGGAUUGAAAUUUUAGUGACUGAGUGGCGGACGGGUGAGUAACGCGUGGGUAACCUGCCUCACACAGGGGGAUAACAGUUGGAAACGGCUGCUAAUACCGCAUAAGCGCACAGUACCGCAUGGUACAGUGUGAAAAAACUCCGGUGGUGUGAGAUGGACCCGCGUCUGAUUAGCUAGUUGGCAGGGCAACGGCCUACCAAGGCGACGAUCAGUAGCCGACCUGAGAGGGUGACCGGCCACAUUGGGACUGAGACACGGGCCCAAACUCCUACGGGAGGCAGCAGUGGGGAAUAUUGCACAAUGGGGGAAACCCUGAUGCAGCGACGCCGCGUGAGCGAAGAAG
This 405-nucleotide ribosomal RNA is filed under the name uncultured bacterium. RNAcentral's name for it is "bacterial SSU rRNA". It matches the Rfam family "Bacterial small subunit ribosomal RNA", at positions 28 to 413 of the family's 1533-position model. The record is from RNAcentral.